Long non-coding RNA from Homo sapiens (human), 3384 nucleotides. RefSeq lists it as uncharacterized. The transcript has 2 exons. NCBI's taxonomy places the organism in Eukaryota, Metazoa, Chordata, Mammalia, Primates, Hominidae. The record is from RefSeq and is a predicted model, not a curated record.
AUCUCACACUUGCCAGCCCUUGCCAAAGCAGUAGCACAAUGGUGUGUUACUUGCUGACAGCGCAAUGUGAGGCAAGGCCCCACGGUUCCACCCAGCAUACAAGCUUAUGGAGCGGCUCCUUUUGAGGGUCUUCAGGUGGAUUUCACAGAAAUGCCAAAAUGUGAAGAUCUUAUUCCUAGGUUUGGACUGCCCUUACGAAUUGGCUCACAUAACGGGCCGGUGUUUGUGGCUGACUUGGUACAGAAGACAGCAAAGGCAUUAGGAAUCACUUGGAAACUACAUGCCGCCUACUGACCUCAGAGUUCUGGAAAGGUGGAGCGAAUGAAUCAGACUAUCAAAAAUAGUUUAGGGAAAGUAUGUCAGGAAACAGGAUUAAAAUGGAUACAGGCCCUUCCUAUGGUAUUGUUUAAAAUUAGAUGCAUCCCUUCUAACAGGAUACUCCCCUUAUGAAAUACUGUAUCAUAGGCCUCCUCCUAUACUAGGGGGACUUCCAGGCACUCCCCGAGAGUUAGGUGAAAUUGAGUUACAGUGACAGCUACGGGCUUUGGGAAAAAUUACACAAACAAUCUCAACUUGGGUAAAUGAGAGGUGUCCCGUCAGCUUAUUCUCCCCAGUUCACCCUUUCUCUCCAAGUGAUCGCAUGUGGAUCAAGGACUGGAACGUAGUCCCUUUGCGGCCACAGUGGAAAAGACCUCACACCAUCAUCCUGACCACCCCCACGGCUGUAAAGGAGAAGGAAUCCCAGCCUGGAUCCACCACAGCCGUGUGAAACCUGCAGCUGCUGAAACUUGGGAGGCAAAACCGAGCCCAGACAACUCCUGAAAGUGACUCUGAGGAGGAUGACAAGCCCUGCUCCAGUCACACCCGGAAGCUGACUGGUCUACGCACGGCCGAGGCAUGAGGAGAAUCAUCGUGGGACUCAUUUUCCUUAUAAUUUGGACUUGUAUAGUAAAAACUUCCACUGAUUUUCCCUGCAUAGAAGACUGCUCUCAGUGUAUACAUCAGGUUACUGAGGUAGGGUAACAAGUUAAAACAAUCUUUCUGUUCUAUAGUUACUAUGAAUGCCUAGGAACUUUAAAAGGAACGUGUUUAUAUAAUGACACUCAGUACGAGGUAUGUAGCCUAGGAAACGACUGCCCAGAUGUGUGUUAUGAUCCCUCUGUGGCCUCCCAGGUCCACAGUUUUUGAAGUAAGAUUAAGGACUGAAGACUGAUGGGGACUUGUAAAUGAUACAAGUAUUAGCCAAAACAGAAGAAAAAGGGGUGCCCAAACGCAUAAUCUUGAAAUUUGAUGCCUGUGCUGUCAUUAAGAGCAAUAAGUUAGGAAGGGGUGUGGCUUUUGAUUGGGAAAAAGGCUAUAUGACCAAAAAUAAGUAUAUUUGUCAUGAAUUAGGACUGUGUGGAAAUCAAUGUGGAUACUGGUGUCAUUUGGGCCACUUGGAUAAAAAAUGAAAAGGAUCCAGUGCAGCUUCAGAAAGGAAAAAGUGGCCCUUCCUGUACUAAGGGACAAUGUAACCCCUUAGAGCUAGUAAUAACCAAUCCCCUUGAUCCUCGCUGGAAAAAAGGGGAGCGUGUGACCUUAGGAAUCAAUGGGGCUGGACUGGAUCCUCGAGUAAAUAUCUUAGUUCGAGGAGAAGUUUACAAACACUCUCCUGAGCCAGUGCUUCAAACUUUCUAUGAUGAACUAAAUGUGCCAGUACCAGAAAUUCCAGGAAAAACAAGAAAUUUGUUUUUGCAAUUAGCCAAGCAUGUAGCCUAGUCUCUCAAUGUUGCUUCACAUUAUGUAUGUGGAGGAACUGUAAUGGGAGAUCAAUGGCCACGAGAAGCCCGAGAAUUAGUACCUACAGACCCAGUUCCUGAUGAAUUCCCAGCUCAAAAGAAUCACCCUGAUAAUUUCUGGGUCCUAAAAACCUCAAUUAUUGGACAAUAUUGCAUAGCUGGAGAAGGAAAAGAAUUCACUCACCCCGUAGGAUGACUUAGUUGUCUGGGACAGAAACUGUAUAAUGGUACCACAAAAACAGUCACUUGGUGGAGUUCAAAUCACACAGAAAGGAAUCCAUUUAGUAAAUUCCCAAAGUUGCAAACCGUGUGGACCCAUCCGGAGUCCCACCAGGACUGGACAGCCCCCACUGGAUUAUACUGUAUAUGUGGGCAUAGAGCUUGUGCCAAAUUAUCCAACCAGUGGACAGGUAGUUGUGUUAUUGGCACUAUUAAACCAUCUUUCUUCCUACUGCCCAUAAAGACAGGCAAACUCCUGGGUUUCCCUGUCUAUGCUGCCCGAGAAAAGAGAAGCAUAGCUAUAGGAAAUUGGAAAGAUGAUGAAUGGCCCCCUGAGAGAAUCAUACAAUAUUACAGACCUGCUACUUGGGCACAAGAUGGCUCGUGGGGAUACUGGACCCCCAUUUACAUGCUCAACCGAAUCAUACGGUUACAAGCUGUCUUAGAAAUAAUCACUAAUAAAACUGGCAGAGCCUUGACUAUACUGCCCUGGCAAGAGUCUCAGAUGAGAAAUGCUAUCUAUCAAAAUAGAUUGGCUCUCGACUACUUGCUAGCAGCUGAAGGUGGGGGUCUGUGGGAAAUUUAACCUUACUAAUUGCUGUCUAUACACAGAUGAUGAAGGGCAAGUAGUUGAAGACAUAAUUAGAGAUAUGACAAAACUGACACAUGUGCCUGUGCAAGUGUGGCAUGGAUUUGAUCCGGGGGCCAUGUUUGAAAAAUGGUUCCCAGUGCUAGGAGGAUUUAAAACUCUUAUAAUAGGAGUUAUAAUAGUAAUAGGAACCUGCUUACUGCUCCCUUGUUUGCUACUUGUACUUCUUCAAAUGAUAAAAAGCUUCAUCACUACCUUAGCUCACCAAAAUGCUUCAGCGCAAGUGUACCAUAUGAAUCACUAUCAAUCUGUCUUGCAAGAAGACAUGGGUAAUGAGGAUGAAAGUGAGAACUCCCAUUAAUGAGUGAAGUUCUCAAAGGGGGGAAUAAGGGAGGAGACCACCCCUCAUAUUGUCUUAUGCCCAAUUUCUGCCUCCAAAGAAAGAAGUGAAAACUAAAAGGCAGAAAUGGAAUCACAGGCAGAUAGCCCAGCACUGUGCCCUGGGCCUGGUAGUUAAAAAUCAACCCUUGACCUAACCGCUUGUGCUAUCUAUAGAUUUCAGACAUUGUAUGGAAAAGCAUCGUGAAAAUCCCUGUCCUGUUCCAUUCUGAUUACCAGUGCAUGCAGCCCCCAGUCCCAUACCCCCUGCUUGCUCAAUCGAUCACGACCCUCUCACAUGGACUCCCUUAGAGCUGUAAGCCCUUAAAAGGGACAGGAAUUGCUCACUCGGGGAGCUCGGUUUUUGGAGACGUGAGUCCGCUGCUGCUCCCAGCUGAAUAAAGCCCUUUCCUUCUACAA